Molecule: ribosomal RNA, 440 nt
Filed under: uncultured bacterium
Lineage: Bacteria
Description: partial 16S ribosomal RNA
Rfam family: Bacterial small subunit ribosomal RNA
Source: RNAcentral
CCUACGGGAGGCAGCAGUGGGGAAUAUUGCACAAUGGGGGAAACCCUGAUGCAGCGACGCCGCGUGAGUGAAGAAGUAUUUCGGUACGUAAAGCUCUAUCAGCAGGGAAGAAAAUGACGGUACCUGACUAAGCAGCCCCGGCUAACUACGUGCCAGCAGCCGCGGUAAUACGUAGGGGGCAAGCGUUAUCCGGAUUUACUGGGUGUAAAGGGAUCGUAGACGGCAGCGCAAGUCUGGAGUGAAAUCCCAUGGCUUAACCAUGGAACUGCUUUGGAAACUGUGCAGCUAGAGUGCAGGAGAGGUAAGCGGAAUUCCUAGUGUAGCGGUGAAAUGCGUAGAUAUUAGGAGGAACACCAGUGGCGAAGGCGGCUUACUGGACUGUAACUGACGUUGAGGCUCGAAAGCGUGGGGAGCAAACAGGAUUAGAUACCCCAGUAGUC